CAGUUUUUGUGUUAACUAGAGCGUUGGUGACUGUAAAUGUGCUGCUGGAAACAAUUUAAUUAUGCGUUUUUUCCAACAUUUACUGACACCGGCCAUAUUCAACGGGUGUUGAGCGCUUGUAAAUGAAUUAUUCUGCACUCUGGUACACUGACGAGAGUGCUCUGAAAUCCGUGUAGAUAGUAGGCUGGACACAUGAAAUUUUUAACAACGUUCUUUUCUGAUAAAUAAACUAGUUAAUUACAUCCGCCGUGGAGCCCAGUUUCAGAAUAUGACCAUAUUUCCCAGCUGCUUGCCGUCGUUUUGAAGUAAUCGCGAAAAAAAACAGGCCUUAUUGCAUUUUUCACCCUGUCAACUCCUAUUAGUUCUAUUGAGCACUGUGGCACCAACUCGCCUUCCGAACGUCCUAUUCCCAGUUUAUUGUUCAACGUCACAAUGCCUGCUUCGCUAUUGUUGACAAUGAGACCUGCUCACAUUGUUUUGUAGUUAAAAUGUAAACAGCAAAAAUAAUAUUGGAACUCUGCAGUCUUCCCAUUGUUUCCUAUGGGGGAAAUAUGGGCAUGUCUUUCUAUUUCACAAAAUAUCUCGCAAUGUGUAUAUUUCGAUUUUUUUCAAGUCGGACGCCAUUUUAAUCAUGAGAAUCUCUUUCUAAUUAUGUAAGCCUGGGCAGCUAGCUCAGUUGUCAUCAAAUGCUAGCCCCCAAAUACUUUUUGCCCUUGGAACUCUGAGCUCCCCCCAUUGUUUUCCUAUGGAAAGGCAUGCCGGUCUAUUUCGCCAAAUAGCUCACUGUGUGUAUUUAGUUUUUUUCAAGUCGGGCACCAUUUUAAUCAGGAGAAUCUCCCCUUUGUAAUUAUAUAAGUCUGGGCAGCGAGCUCGUUUGUCAUCGAUCUCUAGACCAGAAAGUCAGAAGUUUUUAUUUGUUCCCUACUUUUUCAUUACGGAGACAUAUGCACAGUUGACACCAUCGAGGUGCGGAUGUUUACUUUCUAUUAAAAAAACCCAAUUUUCUUCCAGUUUCGUCCCACGAACAGAUUGAGUUGGUAAAAUAAAAAGUGAUACAUUUUUUUAUGGAAUUCUAAGCCUCACUCCAGUCAAAACAGGCUCUGCGAAUGUUCGAUUCCAUUCAUUUGCUAUGGGCUCGCGCUAGUGUUCCAGUUCUAGCCAACGUUCUUCAGCUGUUUUUCAGCCUUGGGUGAUUUUUGAUUCGUUCUAUUGUCCAGCCUAUAGAUAACCAGAACGAAUUUAUGAAAGCACUCAAAUGUCCAUUGAGAAAGCACAACGACUAUACCAUUUAGCUAAGCUAAGAAUGACGAUUAUAAUCAAGUCAAUAAACGUUGGGUAGUUAGUUAGCCUAUAGUUAAUAUACUAGCAAGUUUGAUGUAUAACUACUAAUGUUAGGUAGCUAGCUGACUGUGACGACCCUCCCACUCUGUCUGCCGAAUUUGUUCUCUUUGCUCUUGUUUACCUUAAUAGGAUGUCGGUGGGCAGAGCCGGGAGGGUCGUCAGUGAAAUGGGACACACCUGGGCUCAGGUGUGUCCCAGGUUAAAUGCCCCUCUUCCCCAUUCAUUGAGGAGACUCUCCAUGCAGACACAGACAGAUUUUGGUUGUAGUUAUUUGGUUUGUUUGCACCUUUCAACACCCCUCAUUAUCACAUGUAUACACGCGACCACUCACUUACACUACUGACUAAACACACACCAUUGUUAAUUGUCUUUACUUUACUUCAGUUAAUAAAUAUGUUUUGUUAUUCUUUAUCUACAUGUUGUCUCCCUUUUUGUUACGGGCUUCGAGCCUGUUCGUGACACUGACAAACCAGUACAUACUGCUGUAAUGAUAUGCUAUGUGGUUCAUAAGGACAGCGUAGCUAACAAAUUGUCAGCCAACAUAACGUGCAAGGUAACUUAUUUGAAAAGUCAUUACUUUAUUACAUUGUGUAGCAAGCUACCCCUUAGUCGUUAAGUCAAAUCUGGUCUGUGAUAGGUUGUUUUUUUCACACCUAGCUCGGCUAUUAGACUAUUCUUUAGUAAAGGUUUUAUAGUCUAUUGUUCAGCUAAGAGCCCCCCUCCCCAACUUGCAACAAAUUGUUGUUCCCAUCUCAUUCCUUUCCCACUUCAAUGCGUCAUCAUUCUGCUCCUGAGUGGCUCGCUUGUGGGCGUGCUGGCAGGAUAUGGCAGCAUCUUCGGUUGUGUAUCAAUAAUUCUGCAUACAGUAGCACGUUUGUAUGAAAGUGUGGUUAUUCACAGGCAAAUUGUUAUAUGCUAUGGAGGUACAUUUUAUGUCUUUUUGUUGAGAGCAAAACCUUUUUUAUUUUCAAUCAAAAAUAAUUGUUUUGAAAGCAACUUUUUUUCGACACAAAGGAAGUCAAAGCGGACACCUACGAAGAUGGCAUCUCAGGUUAUAUCAGCUGUUUUGGUGAACCCCUCCCGCAUCUGAACUUGCUGACACUGAGGGCACAGCAUGAUCAUAGGUAUGUUUUGAUGUGAGAGAGGAAGCCAGUCCUGUCAUUGCCACCUCACCCACUCUUAAGAUAGCCAUCGGGCCAACAGGGGGCCCAAGGCUGGUUAGGAGACACCGCAAUUGUGACGAACUGAGAGAAUAUUAGGGUAACACCGUAAUUCAUGAAUCAUAUGCUGUCUGCCACUGUUCUUACCUCUUUCACUUUCUGUCUUCUACACCUCUCUCCCCACCUCAGAGCAGGAGUGGUAAACACUGUUGAAGUGUAUAAUUGUAAUACAUACAUGCAGACUUGCAGACAGUAUUUAAACCACAUACAAUAUGCACUCAAGUUUAACUGAAGUAUUAUCAGAAACCUGUUUCAUUGUUUUCUCAGCUUCUCAUUUCGUAAAAACCGGUCAAACUGAUGACAUUUCGCACAGGAACAAUCUUUCCACUGUUUUGGAGUUAUUGCAUUUAUUCGGUCCCUAAACGAAAUACAACUUCAUCAGUGUUAACUAGAAUACUAAUGCAUUAAUUCUAUUGAUGUAAGACAUUAUUCUGGUGAGCACUACUUUAUUUAGUCUUCUGGAGCAACAAGUUCUGACAGAAGAGACCCUGCAUGUAUCUAACUACAGUUGACAAAUAAAUGGCCUACCAAAUGUCUGAAAUUAUAAGCAGAAAUGUAUCUAAAUUAGGGAUAAAAGUAGCCUAAGCCAGUAGACUACAAGGUCCAGUACAGAGCAUCGGCGAAAUAAAUUAUUAUGGUGGAUAGAACUGCACAGCUAGCCUACAUUCUGAAGUGAUUUGUUUGACAAUCAGAUUAAAACAUCACACAACACCCAUGAUUUCCGAAACUAAGCCUACGCAGACCGUGAAAAACAACUGUAAAUUGGAUAAGAUGUUUACAUGCCACAGUAUCCUGUCUAAAAUCAGCAUAUCCCAGGCGUCUUAUCUGGGUUUCUCAUAACCAGGAUUGAAGGUUUUUCGGGUUAUUGUAAACGGGAUAUGAUGUUUAUAUGACUCAAAAACAGAAUACUUGAGUAUCCCGAAUAACAAUGGGAUAUUGGAGUGCAUGUAAACGUGGUCAGUGAUAUGCAUGGGCAUAUUUUGGGGAGGUUGAGCUGCAGCUCUUCCUCAGUGUAGAAUCAACUGGACAUGUAAUGUUACCAUUCAGAAUGUACCCCAUACAUUUCAUUGACCCACGUGCAAUUCACAACCCGCCACACCAUAGUCCCUGUGUUUAUGCAUGAAUGCCUCCGGCAGUGUGUGUCUGUCUCAAACAUGUAUAUAGCGAGAACACAUCUGACUUCAUGUACGCUAUCAGCACAGGUUUUGAAAAUGUCAUUUUUUUUGCACUUGUAAUAAAAGGGCAACCUUCAUAAAAAAUAUAUUUUUAAACAAGCAUUUUGUUUUCUUUAUUCAAAACGAAAAAUACCAGGAUGUAAUGCAGAGAUGGAGAUAUUGAGCGACGUCGCCGUGAUAUUUUAACAACCAUCUAAUUUUGCCAUUAAUCUUAACUAAAUAUUCUAUGGAAUGUUAAUUGUGUAGUUCCACUGUGUAACCCACAAUAGAUCAGGUGAAAAGAGCAACAUUAACUUUGCUGUACAUUAUGCACAUUACAAAAGGCUACAUACAACCACAUAACAUGCUAAUAAUAUCAGAAAUAGCUCAUUAUAAAACACAGCAACAGCAACACAAUUGUGACCUUAUUUGGGGAUGAACAUCUGUUGAAACAACACAGGAAACCAUUUCAGGUUGUUUAUUAGUAAAGCCGUCAUUCACGUUUUCUGGUAAAUCUUUUACAGCUUGCUGUAAUUAUAUAAUUUUUUAUGACUAUUCAAAUAUGACUCAACACUAUACACGCCAGCUACUACAGCAACUGAGAUGACUGCAACACUUAACAAAAAUGACUAAAAAAGAGCUGCAGUUAGUUUUGGAAUGGGUAGCAAGGAAUAAGUUAGUAAUAAAUAUUUCCAAAACUAAAACUAUUGUAUUUGGGACACAUCAUUCACUAAACCCUAAACCUCAGCUACGUCUCGUAAUGAAUAAUGUGGAAAUUGAGCAAGUUGAGGUGACUAAACUGCUUGGAAUAACCCUGGUUGGUAAACUGUCAUGGUCAAAACAUAUUGAUAUAACAGUAGCUAAGAUGGGGAGAAGUCUAUCCAUAAUAAUGCGCUUCUCUGCCUUAACAACACUAUCAACCAGGCAGGUCCUACAGGCCCCUGGUAUUGUUGCACCUAGACUACUGUUCAGUAGUGUGGUCAGGUGAUAUGAUAUGUGGUGGUGUAGGGAUGUUAUGUGAUGUAGUGUUUUAUCUUUAGCUCAUUCAUUACAAACAGUUCACAGUUUUAUCUUAUGUUUUAUAUGUAAUGUGGGUGCUUUGGUGUGUUUGGACCCCAGGAAGAGUAGCUGCUGCCUUGGCAGCAGCUAAUGGGGAUCCCUAAUAAAUACAAAUUAUACACUGAGCAUUAAAAUCAUUAAGAACACCUGCUCUUUCCAUGACAGACUGACCAGGUGAAUCUAGGUGAAAGCUAUGAUUCCUUAUUGAUGUUAAAUCCACUUCAAUCAGUGGAGAUGAAGGGGAGGAGACAGGUUAAAGAAGGAUUUUUGACACAACUGUGGGAAGCAUAAAGCAUUGAAGUCAAUAUGGGCCAGCAUCCCUGUGGAACGCUUUAGACACCUUGAAGAGCAUGCCCUAAUUGAGGCUGUUCUGAGUGCAAAUAUUGAGUGCAACUCAAUAUUAGGAAGGUGUUCCUAAUGUUUGGUAAAACUCUGUGUCUGGGACAAGCUUCGCUUUAUGGGUUGGCUCAGCUAAGUUCCUCCCCCGUCAGCCAUGUUUGUGACAUUAGUGAAGUGAUGUGGUGACUAGUGUCGUUGUGAGCUCGUGAGAUAACAGCGGCGAAGACUUGGCUUCAGAAGCUGGACAGAAUCCAGUAUAUAGCUUUAAGGAUAUGUUCUAGUGCAUUUAAAUAAACAUCUGUAUGUGCCUUACUAGUGGAGGCAGGUGAGAUGCCUUUGGAUAUACAGAGUAAAACAUUGUCAUUAGCUUAUUGGGUUAGGUUGAAAAGCUGUGAGGUUGAGCCUCCCACUGCUACACUUCUAGAUGACUGUUGGGAAUAUACUAGUAGACAGGCAGUGGUUUUGGUUGGACAGUUGGAAGCUUGCUGAUGAGAGUGGUUUGAGGGAGUUGGAGGUUGGCCCUUCUGUGGUGAUAGGGGAUGUUCCUCCAUGGUUACUCCCAGAUCCUGGUGUUGAUCUAACCUUGUUAGAGAAAAAGGGACAAUUGGUCACAAGUCAGUGAUAGAGGGAAACUGGUUAACAAUUACAUUGUCAGAAGUUUUUCACAGAUGGAUCCAAGGACCCAGAAUGUGGGCGCGCAGGAGCAGGCGUUUAUGUUUCUGAAUUUGAUGUGCAGAUAUGUAGAAGACUAACAGAUGAACUGUCAGUAUACUCAGUUGAACUGUUGGCGAUAAUAGUUGCCUUCCAGUGGGUGGAGGAAGUGCAACCUGUUAGAAUUAUAGUAUGCUCAGAUUUGCUGUAUGUAUUGAAUAGUUUAUCAUCUGGUAAAUCGAAUAGGAGUGACCUACUAUUGGAGGUAUUCAUGUUAUUAUGGAGAAUUGAGAGAAUUGGUGUAGUAGUGAGAUUCUGCUGGGACUCAGCACAUUUGCGUGUGGAAGGGAAUGAAAUUGUAGACCAGUUAGCCAAAAGAGCUUUAAAACGAGAUAUAAUUGAUAUUAAUGUUCCACUGGGUAGAGGUGAGGCCAAACAUAAGAUGUGUGGCAGAAGAGAUGGGACUCUGAGCACAAGUAUUUACAGUGCAUUCGGAAAAUAUUCAGACCCCUUCCCUUUUUCCACAUUUUGUUACGUUAUUGCCUUAUUAUAAAAUGUAUUAAAUAAAAAAAAUUCCUCAUCAAUUGACACAAUACCCCAGGUUUUUAGAAAUGUUUGCUAAUUUGUUCAAAAUAAAAACCAGAUACCCUCUAGUGGUGUGGGGGCUGUGCUUUGGCAAAGUGGGUGGGUUUAUAUCCUGCCUGUUUCGCCCUGUCCGGGUGUAUCAUUGGAUGAGGCCACGGUGUCUCCUGACCCCUCCUGUUUCAGCCUCCUGUAUUUAUGCUGCAGUAGUUUAUGUGUCGGAGGGCUAGGGUCAGUCUGUUA
This is a non-coding RNA of Salmo salar (Atlantic salmon), 6589 nucleotides long. The record is from RefSeq and is a predicted model, not a curated record. NCBI's taxonomy places the organism in Eukaryota, Metazoa, Chordata, Actinopteri, Salmoniformes, Salmonidae.